RNAcentral lists this ribosomal RNA (434 nucleotides) under uncultured bacterium. RNAcentral describes it as "partial 16S ribosomal RNA". It matches the Rfam family "Bacterial small subunit ribosomal RNA", at positions 29 to 507 of the family's 1533-position model. The record is from RNAcentral.
AACGAACGCUGGCGGCAUGCCUAACACAUGCAAGUCGAACGAUUGCCUUCGGGUGAUAGUGGCGCACGGGUGCGUAACGCGUGGGAAUCUGCCUUAGGUUCGGAAUAACAGCUGGAAACGGCUGCUAAUACCGGAUGAUAUCGCGAGAUCAAAGAUUUAUCGCCUGAGGAUGAGCCCGCGUUGGAUUAGGUAGUUGGUGGGGUAAAGGCCUACCAAGCCGACGAUCCAUAGCUGGUCUGAGAGGAUGAUCAGCCACACUGGGACUGAGACACGGCCCAGACUCCUACGGGAGGCAGCAGUGGGGAAUAUUGGACAAUGGGCGCAAGCCUGAUCCAGCAAUGCCGCGUGAGUGAUGAAGGCCCUAGGGUUGUAAAGCCCUUUUACCCGGGAAGAUAAUGACUGUACCGGGAGAAUAAGCCCCGGCUAACUCCGUG